Nomascus leucogenys (northern white-cheeked gibbon) is the source of this 284-nucleotide non-coding RNA. It matches the Rfam family "Metazoan signal recognition particle RNA". Rfam says of the family: The signal recognition particle (SRP) is a universally conserved ribonucleoprotein. It is involved in the co-translational targeting of proteins to membranes. Lineage: Eukaryota; Metazoa; Chordata; Mammalia; Primates; Hylobatidae. The record is from Rfam.
GCCAGGCGUGGUGGCACGCACCUGUAGUUUGGCUGAGGCAGGAGGAUCGCUUGAGCCCAGAGGUUCCGGGCUAUUCCCGUUGGGUUUCCACACUAAGUUUGGCAUCAGUAUGGUGACCUCCUGGAGCAGGAGACCACCAGGUUACUUAAGGAGAAGCGAACUGGCCUAGGUUGGAAACAGAACAGGUCAAAACUCCUGUGCUGAUCAGUAGUGGGAUUGUGCCUAUGAAUAGCCAUUGCACCAUUGCACUCCAGCCUUGGCAACCUAGCAAGACCCAAUCUCUU